GGCAGAAUCCAAGGUUACAAUCAUGUAUUCCAGACAAGUUGAAGCGGCUCUGAGGUUGUUUGCAAGGAACCCUCCUAAACCCCGACAAAUUCAAAGUUCUUAGUUUUUGUUGACAGCCAACUGUUGCAGAUUUCUCCGGAUCUAUUAUGAAACAUUACAGAACGUCAGGAUAGAACCUGAUUCAAGAUUGAAAGCUCUGGAAUGGCUGCUAGUACAACUUCAAGAUAUGGUGGAUAUUUACAACUACUCUAAUUUCAAUGUUAGGGAAACAAUGCUUACC
Eurytemora carolleeae is the source of this 280-nucleotide long non-coding RNA. RefSeq lists it as uncharacterized. The transcript is spliced from 3 exons. NCBI's taxonomy places the organism in Eukaryota, Metazoa, Arthropoda, Copepoda, Calanoida, Temoridae. The record is from RefSeq and is a predicted model, not a curated record.